This 368-nucleotide long non-coding RNA is filed under the name Setaria viridis. Its description in RNAcentral is "long non-coding RNA (SVIR_LNC007670)". Lineage: Eukaryota; Viridiplantae; Streptophyta; Magnoliopsida; Poales; Poaceae. The record is from RNAcentral.
UAUUUUUACGUGAUCGCCACACAGCCCUUCAGUGAAAAUAUUUUGUAUUCCUGUUCCCCUCUUUUAGCCAAUCAAUUCUUGCCCUUUGCAACCACAUCAUGUCUUCCCGAUAUAGAAUUUCAUCCAUUCUAUCCAUGACCUGCCUCAUCUCCGUCCUUUUGUCUUCCAUGUAAUUUAGUUGGAAGUGUUCCAACUUUGUCCUCCAUUCCUCUAAUUCUUUCUUAACUGAACCAAAAUGUUCAGAACUCCACUUCUUCAAUUUGCACAUGACUUUUUGUAGAGAUAGUGAAAUUUCACCAAGAUUACCUCUCCUGCUUGUGCUGAGCCAUGCUUCUUUGAUUACAUCUGGUAGACAUUCUUCUCUUUCC